RNAcentral lists this ribosomal RNA (282 nucleotides) under uncultured Geothermobacter sp. RNAcentral describes it as "partial 16S ribosomal RNA". It matches the Rfam family "Bacterial small subunit ribosomal RNA", at positions 1099 to 1382 of the family's 1533-position model. The record is from RNAcentral. Lineage: Bacteria; Pseudomonadati; Thermodesulfobacteriota; Desulfuromonadia; Desulfuromonadales; Geothermobacteraceae.
CAACCCUUGUCCUUAGUUGCCACCAUUCAGUUGGGCACUCUAAGGAGACUGCCGGUGUUAAACCGGAGGAAGGUGGGGAUGACGUCAAGUCCUCAUGGCCCUUAUAUCCAGGGCUACACACGUGCUACAAUGGCCGGUACAAAGGGUCGCAAUACCGCAAGGUGGAGCUAAUCCCAAAAAGCCGGUCUCAGUUCGGAUUGGAGUCUGCAACUCGACUCCAUGAAGUCGGAAUCGCUAGUAAUCGCGUAUCAGCAUGACGCGGUGAAUACGUUCCCGGGCCUU